GCCUUCGUGGUGUAAUAUUCGACACACUCGGCGCGUAUUCGAAAGGUCGUGGUUCGAAUCCCGGCGAGGGCA
This 72-nucleotide transfer RNA is filed under the name Stegodyphus mimosarum. It matches the Rfam family "tRNA". Rfam says of the family: Transfer RNA (tRNA) molecules are approximately 80 nucleotides in length. Their secondary structure includes four short double-helical elements and three loops (D, anti-codon, and T loops). The record is from Rfam by way of RNAcentral. Lineage: Eukaryota; Metazoa; Arthropoda; Arachnida; Araneae; Eresidae.